GAUUAGCUCAGCGGUAGAGCACCUGCCUUACAAGCAGAUUGUCACUGGUUCGAUCCCGGUAUC
Molecule: transfer RNA, 63 nt
Filed under: marine eukaryotic metagenome
Rfam family: tRNA
About the family: Transfer RNA (tRNA) molecules are approximately 80 nucleotides in length. Their secondary structure includes four short double-helical elements and three loops (D, anti-codon, and T loops).
Source: RNAcentral